This 726-nucleotide unclassified non-coding RNA is filed under the name Hevea brasiliensis (rubber tree). Lineage: Eukaryota; Viridiplantae; Streptophyta; Magnoliopsida; Malpighiales; Euphorbiaceae. The record is from RNAcentral.
CUAUAACUCAAUAUGGCAGGGUUAUAGGACUCUCCUCUUUGAUCUUGACCCAGAACAUGAAAAUCAAAAUUCUCAGGAAGUGAAGCAUCGCCCUUGAGGUACUGCAGAACUUGUGACAUCCUUGGCCUAAUUUCUGCCAUGGGAUGCGAACAAAGUAGUCCAAGCUUCAAAACUAGUUCAGCCUCUUCAAUCUUGAUAUCUUUGUUCAGUUUGGGAUCCACAGUACUCAAGAUUUUCCCUUCCCUCCAACGCUGGUAUACCCAAUCCACUAAUGCCACCUCUUCCGGCGACACUCGUGACUCCACUGGCCUUCUACCACAUACUACUUCCAAGCAAAAUGCCCCAUAUGCAUAAACAUCAGUACUUGGGGUUGCCUUGCCAUUUUUUGCAAGCUCGGGUGCAAUGUAGCCAAAGGUGCCGGCUACAUGAGUAGUUUGAGGAUCCUGUGUGCGUUUGCUACUUCUUGCAAGCCCAAAAUCUCCCAAUUUCGCUCUUAAGUCACUAUCUAAUAACACAUUGCUGGCCUUUAUAUCUCUAUGAACAAUAACUUCAACCCAUUCUUCAUGAAGAUAGGUAAGUGCUAAAGCAACAUCUUUGAUAAUUUUAAAUCUUUGAACCCAAUUAACAGUUACUUGUGCCUUAUUAUAGAUGAAUUUGUCAAGACUGGCGUUAGGCAUGUAAUCAUAGACCAAAAGGAGCUGACCUUCACCGCGACAAUAGCCAAGU